This is a long non-coding RNA of Cloeon dipterum, 558 nucleotides long. RefSeq lists it as uncharacterized. NCBI's taxonomy places the organism in Eukaryota, Metazoa, Arthropoda, Insecta, Ephemeroptera, Baetidae. The transcript has 3 exons. The record is from RefSeq and is a predicted model, not a curated record.
AUUAUAAUUCCACAAUUCCGUGGGAUCCUAACUUUCCAUCAGAUUUUGAAAUAGAGGACACCAAAUUUUUUGACGGUGGAAAUUUUAAAAACGACGAAGAGAAACAAAGGCAACUGGGAUGCUUCAGAUUUUUUAAUGAGGCGUUCCCAUUUUUCAUUCCGAUGGAGCACCACAGAAUGUCUGUCGAAGGAAUUAUGAAACGAAGCCCAAAAGGACAAUACUGGGGAGUGGCAAUUCACUUUUUAAUCAGCAUCAAGGGCCAUGGCGCGACAAUUUGGAACGAAUUUCAGAGACAAUUACGACACGAAGAAAUUUCUUGCCAUCCAUACAUUUCAGAUACAACUAGGUUAAAGCUUCUUCCAAAUGGAGCUCCGCAGUGUAAUAGCAGUGAAGAUUAUUUCUUUGAGCCUGCUUUACUUCUCCAAAUUCCACGUGAACUGAAUUUAUUACAUCAGUGGCUUGCAGCUGCUCUUGCCAUAACUUUAGACUUUGAAAGAGAACUAACAGAAUUUUACUGUCGUCCAUUUCCAAAAGAGUUUAGCAAGGAAGUCAAUAUUU